This 638-nucleotide ribosomal RNA is filed under the name uncultured bacterium. RNAcentral's name for it is "bacterial SSU rRNA". It matches the Rfam family "Bacterial small subunit ribosomal RNA", at positions 279 to 918 of the family's 1533-position model. The record is from RNAcentral.
AUCAGUAACUGGUGUGAGAGCACGACCAGUCACACGGGCACUGAGACACGGGCCCGACUCCUACGGGAGGCAGCAGUAAGGAAUAUUGGUCAAUGGACGCAAGUCUGAACCAGCCAUGCCGCGUGGAGGAUGAAGGCCCUCUGGGUUGUAAACUUCUUUUAUCUGGGAAGAAACCCAUUUUUUCUAAAGUGGUUGACGGUACCAGUUGAAUAAGCACCGGCUAACUCCGUGCCAGCAGCCGCGGUAAUACGGAGGGUGCAAGCGUUAUCCGGAUUCACUGGGUUUAAAGGGUGCGUAGGUGGGCAGGUAAGUCAGUGGUGAAAUCUCCGGGCUUAACCCGGAAACUGCCGUUGAUACUAUCUGUCUUGAAUAUCGUGGAGGUGAGCGGAAUAUGUCAUGUAGCGGUGAAAUGCAUAGAUAUGACAUAGAACACCAAUUGCGAAGGCAGCUCGCUACACGGUUAUUGACACUGAGGCACGAAAGCGUGGGGAUCAAACAGGAUUAGAUACCCUGGUAGUCCACGCCCUAAACGAUGGAUACUCGACAUACGCGAUACACAGUGUGUGUCUGAGCGAAAGCUAUUAAGUAUCCCACCUGGGAAGUACGACCGCAAGGUGAAACUCAAAGGAAUGACGGAA